RNAcentral lists this ribosomal RNA (301 nucleotides) under uncultured bacterium. RNAcentral's name for it is "partial 16S ribosomal RNA". It matches the Rfam family "Bacterial small subunit ribosomal RNA", at positions 509 to 808 of the family's 1533-position model. The record is from RNAcentral.
CAGUCGCCGCGGUAAUACGAAGGGUGCAAGCGUUAAUCGGAAUUACUGGGCGUAAAGCGUGCGUAGGCGGUGAGUUAAGUCUGCUGUGAAAUCCCCGGGCUCAACCUGGGAAUGGCAGUGGAUACUGGCUCGCUAGAGUGUGUCAGAGGAUGGUGGAAUUCCCGGUGUAGCGGUGAAAUGCGUAGAGAUCGGGAGGAACAUCAGUGGCGAAGGCGACUAUCUGGGCCAACACUGACACUGAGGCACGAAAGCGUGGGGAGCAAACAGGAUUAGAUACCCAGUAGUCCCUGUCUCUUAUACA